GGGCGAUUAGCUCAGUUGGUUAGAGCACCAGCUCGACAAGCUGGGGGUCAAAGGUUCGAGUCCUUUAUCGCCCA
RNAcentral lists this transfer RNA (74 nucleotides) under Planctomycetota bacterium. RNAcentral's name for it is "tRNA-Val". It matches the Rfam family "tRNA". From Rfam's summary of the family: Transfer RNA (tRNA) molecules are approximately 80 nucleotides in length. Their secondary structure includes four short double-helical elements and three loops (D, anti-codon, and T loops). RNAcentral also lists the same sequence under 5 other names. The record is from RNAcentral. Lineage: Bacteria; Pseudomonadati; Planctomycetota.